UACGAAGGGUGCAAACGUUGCUCGGAAUCACUGGGCUUAAAGCGCGUGUAGGCGGCCCGGCACGUCAUUGGCUGAAAUCCCCCGGCUCAACCGGGGAAGGGGCCGUGAUACGACCGGGCUGGAGGGGGGUAGGGGGGACGGGAACUCACGGUGGAGCGGUGAAAUGCGUUGAGAUCGUGAGGAACGCCCGCGGCGAAAGCGCGUCCCUGGACCCCACCUGACGCUGAGACGCGAAAGCCAGGGGAGCGAACGGG
This 254-nucleotide ribosomal RNA is filed under the name uncultured bacterium. RNAcentral's name for it is "partial 16S ribosomal RNA". It matches the Rfam family "Bacterial small subunit ribosomal RNA", at positions 524 to 776 of the family's 1533-position model. The record is from RNAcentral.